This 412-nucleotide ribosomal RNA is filed under the name Wolbachia sp. Its description in RNAcentral is "bacterial SSU rRNA". It matches the Rfam family "Bacterial small subunit ribosomal RNA", at positions 1005 to 1415 of the family's 1533-position model. The record is from RNAcentral. Lineage: Bacteria; Pseudomonadati; Pseudomonadota; Alphaproteobacteria; Rickettsiales; Anaplasmataceae.
AGGGAUAGGGUCGGUUUGGCCGGAUUUCACACAGGUGUUGCAUGGCUGUCGUCAGCUCGUGUCGUGAGAUGUUGGGUUAAGUCCCGCAACGAGCGCAACCCUCAUCCUUAGUUACCAUCAGGUAAUGCUGGGGACUUUAAGGAAACUGCCAGUGAUAAACUGGAGGAAGGUGGGGAUGAUGUCAAGUCAUCAUGGCCCUUAUGGAGUGGGCUACACACGUGCUACAAUGGUGGCUACAAUGGGCUGCAAAGUCGCGAGGCUAAGCUAAUCCCUUAAAAGCCAUCUCAGUUCGGAUUGUACUCUGCAACUCGAGUACAUGAAGUUGGAAUCGCUAGUAAUCGUGGAUCAGCAUGCCACGGUGAAUACGUUCUCGGGUCUUGUACACACUGCCCGUCACGCCAUGGGAAUUGGU